This 169-nucleotide ribosomal RNA is filed under the name uncultured bacterium. RNAcentral describes it as "partial 16S ribosomal RNA". It matches the Rfam family "Bacterial small subunit ribosomal RNA", at positions 1324 to 1500 of the family's 1533-position model. The record is from RNAcentral.
AGCUGGAUUCGCUAGUAAUCGCGCAUCAGCCAUGGCGCGGUGAAUACGUUCCCGGGCCUUGUACACACCGCCCGUCAAGCCAUGGGAGCCGGGGGUGCUUGAAGUGCGUCGCCGCGAGGCGCGCCCUAGAGCAAAACCGGUGACUGGGGCUAAGUCGUAACAAGGUAGC